AGAGGGUGCGAGCGUUAAUCGGAGUUACUGGGCGUAAAGGGCGCGUAGGCGGUUGUUUAAGUGAGCUGUGAAAUCCCUGGGCUUAACCUAGGAACUGCAGCUCAUACUGGACAGCUAGAGUACUGUAGAGGGUAGUGGAAUUUCCGGUGUAGCGGUGAAAUGCGUAGAGAUCGGAAGGAACACCAGUGGCGAAGGCGGCUACCUGGACAGAUACUGACGCUGAGGCGCGAGAGCGUGGGGAGCAAACAGGAUUAGAUACCCUGGUAGUCCACGCUGUAAACGAUGAAAACUAGAUGUUGGUCAGCUUAGACUGAUUAGUAUCGAAGCUAACGCGAUAAGUUUUCCGCCUGGGGAGUACGACCGCAAGG
Molecule: ribosomal RNA, 368 nt
Filed under: uncultured bacterium
Lineage: Bacteria
Description: bacterial SSU rRNA
Rfam family: Bacterial small subunit ribosomal RNA
Source: RNAcentral